Molecule: ribosomal RNA, 433 nt
Filed under: uncultured bacterium
Lineage: Bacteria
Description: partial 16S ribosomal RNA
Rfam family: Bacterial small subunit ribosomal RNA
Source: RNAcentral
AGCGAACGCUGGCGGCAGGCCUAACACAUGCAAGUCGAACGAACCUUUCGGGGUUAGUGGCGGACGGGUGAGUAACACGUGGGAACGUGCCUUUAGGUUCGGAAUAACUCAGGGAAACUUGUGCUAAUACCGAAUGUGCCCUUCGGGGGAAAGAUUAAUCGCCUUUAGAGCGGCCCGCGUCUGAUUAGCUAGUUGGUUGAGGUAAUGGCUCACCAAGGCGACGAUCAGUAGCUGGUCUGAGAGGAUGAUCAGCCACAUUGGGACUGAGACACGGCCCAAACUCCUACGGGAGGCAGCAGUGGGGAAUCUUGCGCAAUGGGCGAAAGCCUGACGCAGCCAUGCCGCGUGAAUGAUGAAGGUCUUAGGAUUGUAAAAUUCUUUCACCGGGGACGAUAUGACGGUACCCGGAGAAGAAGCCCCGGCUAACUUCGUG